AAGGGAGACCUAAUUCCGGUAGGAGACGAAAAAAAAGUAGUCCCAACCAAGAAUCAAUCCCAAAAGGUCGGAACGAGGUAUGAGGCUUUCAAACUAGGUUCUGGGUUCAUAAAAGACCUGAAUCAGGAACAAGGGCUAUUAGCUCAGGUGGUUAGAGCGCACCCCUGAUAAGGGUGAGGUCCCUGGUUCGAGUCCAGGAUGGCCCACCUGCACAGGUGGCAAAAACAAGAGAAGCGAGGAAUCAGCACCUUAUCUUAUCUAUAUAUAUAUAGGAGAGAAUGCUGGCUCUGAGUAAAGAGUCCAGAGGAACCUUGAAAACUGCAUAGAGCUAGGUGAAAAAGCCAAAAAAGAAGACCGCAA
Molecule: transfer RNA, 360 nt
Filed under: uncultured Microcystis sp.
Lineage: Bacteria; Bacillati; Cyanobacteriota; Cyanophyceae; Chroococcales; Microcystaceae
Description: partial 16S-23S ribosomal RNA intergenic spacer
Rfam family: tRNA (bases 133-206)
Source: RNAcentral